GGUGGAGGCUAAUCUGGGUGCAGUUAACCCGCUCAGGAGGGGUAGCGGGCCUCACCGCGGGUGGGCCCGGGGCUAACCUGGGUGGGCCGUCGGCUAAUCCUCAGUGGACCGCCGGCUAAUCCUAGGUGGGCCGCCGGCUAAUCCGAGUGAGCCGCCCGCUAACCUUGGUGUGCCCCGAGCCCUGCCAAUUAGCCAUCACUUUGCUGUUACUUCCAUGUUUCUGGCGUUGUCUAAGUAUGGUCUUAGAUGGGGAAUGGUUGGAUGGGGCAAGAUGGGCACGCGGGGCCGCAGGGACGUGAACCACUGGUUCACCAGCCGGAAACCAGCUCUAUUUGUUGGGAUAUUUUUUGUUAAUGUUCAUACGUAUGGUGUCUAUGCAGCUGAGGAAAUAGGGACCUGUUUUUAACCUCACGUCAAAGAAAUGUUGUUUGUUGCCUCAGAUUUCAGCCCGCAUCGGUUGUAUAUUUGAAUAUGGGAGCCCUCAUGGUCACAUAAACCAAUACGAGAACCCCUGUCUUGCAUUCUUCCGAAAAUGAACCAGUGGUUCAUGCGGCUGCGUCGUUUGCGGGUUGCUGCGUUUGGAGACUUAGGAUGUGUCAGGAAGAUUAAGCAAAUAGUACAGCAUGCGUUGGGGGAUUCAGGUGUCAACAUAGCCGCGCUGGCGCGAAAAUGGGAAUCGCGUGUGGGUUUCUGAGCGUGUUACCCGCGAGCAUCACCGCUGCCCCGCGCGAAGUCCUCGCGUACAGACGCUGCGCCCCCAAAAAGGCGUUUCCCGGUCACAGAGUGGCUUUCCGCAGUCACCGGCGGCAGUUCCCGCGCUAAUCUUGAGUAGGUCCCCGGCUAAUCCUGGGUGGGUCCCCGGCUAAUCCUGGGUGGGCGGGGGGCUAAUCCAGGUUGGCCGGCGACCCAGCGGGCUUUGCCCCGAGCUCACCCAAGCUUUACAGCCGUUGCCUUAAAGUUAGCCCACGGCUAAUCCACCGGAGCUGGAUGAGAGCAGCCAAAACCGCUCGUGUCAUCCCUCCGGCAGGGCAGCACCGCCUCACCACCCCUGUGGGUCAUCCAGAUGCAGCCACUGACGUCCUUUCUGCGGCGGCAGGUGGAGCAAGGGGCACUGCGCACGCCCCUGUUACCCAGCGGCGAGCAGGCGCCACCGGCUGCCCACCACGCUGACGACACGACCCUCACGGCGCGCGACCCGGCGGUGGACGGGCCGGUCCUGAUGGCGGCAGUACAGCUGUUCUGCCGCGCGUCCAACGCCCGUGUCCAUCCGGACAAGAGCAAGGCCAUGGGCCUUGGCAGGUUUGCGCACCUGACGGGCCCUUGCCCACACACGGGGGUGCCGUUUACCACUGGCGCCGUGACGCACCUGGGUGUGCCCCUGUCGUGGGACUCGGAUGUGGCUGCAGCUGACUUGUUCACCCGGCGGGCUCGCGGCAUGGCGUUUGUGGCGCGUCUGUGGGCUGCCCUGUCUCUGACUCUUGUUGGCCGUGUGCACAUUGCGAAGCAGGUGCUGGCGGCGAAGCUGGCCUACCACUUCAGCUUCCUCAACCCGUCGCCUGCGCAGCUGAAGGAACUCACCGACCUGGUGGACCACUUUGCUGCGCGGUCCAUGCACGCUGAGGACGCCAGCCUGGUGUCGCACGGGAACCCGCUCCUGCUGCCAAAGCGGGAAACGGCCUGUCUGCCGUACAAGGAUGGGGGUGUCAACCACGUCGACCUGCCUGCGUUCCUGUCUGCCCUGCAAGCUAAGACCUUCGCCCUCCUUGCCCAGCCAGGCCGGCAACCCUGGAAGAUGCUCACCCGGGCGCUGCUUACUCAUGUGCGCCCGGACUCCGCCACCACGUGGGCGUGGGUGUACAGCGACGCGCUGGCGCCAGCGGGGCUGCCUGCCCGGCUGGCGGCCGCGGUCGGCCACAUGCAGAGCGCGGGCGUGGAACAGCAUCCACCGCAGCCAGCCACUCAGCCGCCAGCGGCGCCGCCACAGUGGCGGGUUAGCCUGGACCAGCUGUGGGUGGCUAACGCUGCGGGGGCUGUGUCCUACGUCCACUACACGGGGCGGCUCUUGGAGCCUGGGCCUGGCGUGCUGCCCCCGGCGGUGGAUGGGGCGUGGCAGCCUGCCUGUGUGCUGCAGCAUCGCAAGCCGCGGCACCUGUGGACCUUUGAAGAGCGGGCGGCGUACGAUGCAGCAUCACCAGGGGACCGGGCGGGGGCGUGGCCUCGGGCGCCGUACUUCCUGGCGCCGGAGGCUGGGGUGGUGGUGCACCCGGAGCACUGCCGGAUUGCGGGUGUCAGCUUAGCGGACUACACGGUGCGGGACGUGCGGCGGGCCAUCACCGCGGCCAACCCGGCCGCACCUCCGGCUCCGGCCCGCCCCGCAGCCAUGCCGUGCCCAGCGCCAGCACAGCAGGCGGGGGGUUCGGGGCCCCAGCCAGCGGCACAGUCGCGGCUGGCGAAGCGGGAGGCGGAGUGGCAGCGUGCAGCGGCGCAGCUGACCACCACGGCGGCGCAGCAUUUCCACAAUAACCCGGUGGCUCUGGACCCCUGGCUCCACCGCACCUCUGCGGCAGCCGGGCUGCAGAACACGCCGGCGAGAGAACUGCAGUCGUAUGCGUCCCCGUCCCAGCAGUCGGGUGAGGGGCCGCGGCGGUCCGCGCGGCUGCAGGAGCAGGCGGCGGGCGGGGCGGGACCUAGCACUGGGCCUGCCACGGCGGCGGCGGCAGCAGCGGCGGCGGUGGAGGGCGACCCUCGCAUGCCGCCCCCGGAUGCGUCCCUUCUGCGGGGUACGUGGCGGAGGCUGUGGGACAGCCACGCCAGUCGGGGGGCAAAGGUGCUGGUGUACCGGCUGCAACAUGCUUACCUGCCUUGCGGGCUGUACAGGGCGGGCAAGGGCAUUCGGCCACGGGUGACCACGGGGUGCGGGGGGUUGGGGGCGCACUGUCCUCACCCCGCCUGCGGGCCACCUGGCCCGCGGGCGUGGGCCAGCCUGACGCACAUCUUCCUGGAGUGUCCGGCUUAUGCGCAGGCGAGGACGUGGCUGCAGCAGCUGUGGGCCUGCGUUGCGCCCCAGGCAGCGGCGCCGCCAGUGACGGACGCGGGCUUCAUGCUGGGGGACCGCAUGGGUAUGUGGGCCUCAGGCCCGCGGGGGGCGGGCGCGCUGCUGUGGAGCACUUUGCCAGCCACCUUCUUUUUUUUUUUUGAGGAAUCAUCCUUACAAGGUUGAACAGGGGCAGACGCGCUGCCCCCCUGCUGCCUGAAAGCAGCCUGGUCCCCGGGACCAGAACCCUGACAGGGCAAGAAGAGGAGAGAAGAGAAGAAAAACAGAAAACAAACACCUCGAAAACCGCCACCAACCACCCCCAUCCAUCCCACCCCACCCCACCCCGACCCGGCAGACAGAGCAGGAGGCUGGCCCCCCCGCCCCCCGGGAGGGGUUGCACAAAAACACCGCCAGACCUAACCCAAGCACCAACCUACACCACAGCCUAACCGCAAGAACCACCACCACCGCGCGCCAGAAAAAGAAACACCAGCGCUACGCACUCGCCCCGCCCAAACCCACCCCACCCCCACAAGUCGGUUGCUUAAGCAACACCCCAGGAGAACCGGCAGAGGAGACACAAGCAGAAAACUAAACGGGCCAGAUGUGGCGCUGACUAAGCGGGCUCCAGUCCGCUGCAAGACGCGCUGUGCAGGAAGUCCCACAGCCGCCCAGGUGCUGCGACGCCAGCCAGAGCUAAAAAACAUGGGCGCCAGAUAAGCUGAUGACGAUAAUACGCCACGCCAGCGCCUGGAAAGAACCGCCGCCUAGGGGGCCUGCACAGGUGAUGCAAGUGUCAGCCGCAAGUUCAACUUCGGUGACCCACCCUGAACCUCCUCCACUUCACAAAGCGCGCCACCCGCCGUCCAGAUGGCAACAAAAUGCUCCAGCUUAGCCGCCUUGAGCUGUGCGGUGAGCAGCUGAGUGGGCAGAGCCGACAGGGUUUCAGGGGUUAGCGUGGCGGCAGUGAAACGCAGCCGCAUCACCCUGCGCAGCUCGCUGACCACCUCCCGAACCACAUGCUCCGACGUCUGCUUAGCAGGCUCGCGGGACCAGUACGCACACCAGACGGCGUACAAAAAGGCGUAUGACCGGGUGCACCGGCAGUGGCUGUAUGCGUCCGCGGAGGGACUUGGGUUUGGGCCGCGCAUGCUGCGCUGGAUCCGCCUGCUCACUGCCAACGGCUCUGCCCGCGUGUGUGUGAACGGGAUGCUCUCUGACGCCUUCCCAGUGCUGAACGGCUUGCCGCAGGGCAGCACCGCCUCACCACCCCUGUGGGUCAUCCAGAUGCAGCCACUGACGUCCUUUCUGCGGCGGCAGGUGGAGCAAGGGGCCCUGCGCACGCCCCUGUUAC
This 4391-nucleotide long non-coding RNA is filed under the name Chlamydomonas reinhardtii. RNAcentral's name for it is "long non-coding RNA (CREI_LNC000814)". The record is from RNAcentral. Lineage: Eukaryota; Viridiplantae; Chlorophyta; Chlorophyceae; Chlamydomonadales; Chlamydomonadaceae.